UUUAUACUGUAUCUGCCCUACAUUUGGCUAUACACCAGCUCCUGGUGUACCUUGCCUUUCACUCAAAGUCUGUUGGGAUAUGUUCAGCACACCUGCUACCCUAGUGAGGAUAAGUGGUACAGAGAAUGGAUGGAUGGAUGGAUAACCAUUUUAUUUUGUGGGGUGUGAAAAAAAGCAUACUAAUAUUGUAUCUCCAUAUAGCACAGUUAAAUCCUAGACACUGGGAAUUACACUAAGUGGGGUCAAGGACAAAGCCUUGGGUGCACCUGAAGAGCAAAGAAUCUGGUUUAUAGAAGAUUAAAUGUACAAAGACAGCUAAACCUAAAUGCACUACUAUACAAAAAUACUAUACAGUACAACAAAAAUGAGCAGACUUGAAGGUUGAUAAAUGUUAAUAAAUGUUAAAGAGGACUAUUACAAACAGUGCUCAAGAUGAGCUCUUGUGAGCUAUUGUUUUGUUUGCAGCAUGUGCUCUUUCUUGUUUUUUGUUUUCAACAAUCUGAGUUGUUUCAGCUGCACUUGGCGGGGCUCCAAAGGAAGCAAGCAAGCGCUCCAUCUUCUCCGACAUCCUCGAAGUGGCUUUUGAAGUGACAACAAGAGACGGGAAAAGUUGUACAACACUGUACAUGCGCUACAGUGUGUGCUGUAGAAGAAGACAUGGCGCGCGACAAGAUGUUCUUCUGUAGGUGGCUCUGUCUCAAGAUGCCCCUGAGCCACAGAGAAGAACUGUACCACAUCUUGAGGAUGACUGGUCCUCUGUUGUUCUCUCGGGUCCUCAAUUACCUGCUUCCCUUCGUGGUCACCAUGUUCUCUGGACGUCUGGGCAACAAGGUGAUGGCUGGCUACGGAUUAGCAUCUGCUACCAUCAAUGUCACCACAGCGGCAACAGGAUAUGGUCUUAGUCUUGCUUGUGAUACACUGGUCUCUCAGACCUUCGGUGGUAAGAAUCUGCUGCGCGUGGGCGUGAUCCUGCAGCGAGGCAUCGUCAUCCUUCUGUUUUUCUGUCUGCCCUGUUGGGGUCUACUCCUCAACGCCCAGAGCCUCCUGCUGCUCAUGGGCCAGCACCCCGAGGUGACCCGAAUAGCACAUCUGUACAUCGUAGCCUCCCUUCCAGCUGUGCCAGCAAUGUUUCUACACAAUCUUCAAGUGUCUUACUUGCAGAACCAGGGUAUAAUACUUCCGCAAAUGUACACUGCAGCAAUGGCAAAUGUUGCCAACGUGAUUUUGAACUAUGUGUUAUUGUACUGGCUCGAUCUAGGGGUCACUGGAUCUGCAGCUGCCAACGCUCUCUCUCAGAUUUUCAUCUGUGCUCUGCUGUUUGCUUACAUUCGCUGGAAGAAGCUGCACGUAUCAACAUGGGGAGGCUGGUCAGUGGAAUCUCUGCAGGAGUGGGGCUCCUACAUGAGGCUGGCUGUUCCCAGCAUGCUCAUGAAGUGUUUCGAGUGGUGGCUCUAUGAGUUUGGUGGAUUCUUUGCGGGCAUGUUGAGCGAAGAAGAGCUGGCGGCCCAACAUGCAGUGAUGAUGGUGACUUUACUAGCCUACAUGUUCCCUUUUGCCAUCCAGGCAGCGGCGUGCGCUCGGGUGGGCAACGCUCUCGGGGCCGGAGACACGGGCAGGGCCAUCCUCACCUGCAAGGUUUCGCUCACCCUCGCAGCUGCAUUUGCACUUGUCGAAGGUGUCGUGCUUGGCUCCACUAAAUCAGUGAUCGGCUUCAUCUUCACCUCCGAUGAGAAGAUCGUCAAUCUGGUGUCCCUUUUGAUGAACGCUUACUGCUUCCUUCAGUUCUUUGAUGGCCUCGUGUGUGUGUGCACUGGCAUCUUUCUGGGCACGGGAAAACAGAAGAUUCCGGCUGUAGCUAACUUCAUUGGAUAUUACGGUGUCGGACUCACGCUCAGCGUUACGCUCAUGUUUGUGGCAAAGCUCCGAAUUUUAGGUUUCUGGCUGGGGAUUUUGAUUUGCGUUAUCUUGCAGUCCACCCUUUACAUCAUUGUCGUCUUCAAGCUGGACUGGGAGAGAAUGACAGAGGAGAAGAUACACCAAGUACUCUCCUGCCUGCUUCUCUGAUCACCUUGGCUGCAGUGGUCCAGUCUUCUGGAAGCUCUUCCCGUCCACCGAGAGCCUGUAUCACCUCUUCCCGAAAAGCUGCACAACACUCGUCCUGUCUCAGCUUCCACCACAUGGUUCUCUUCUCUGCCUUUGUCUUCCUAAUUUUCCUCCCCACCACCAGAGUCAUCUUACACACCACCAUCCUAUGCUGUCUAGCCACACUCUCCCCUACCACUACCUUACAGUUGGUAACCUCCUUCGGAUUACAUCGUCUGCACAAGAUGUAAUCCACCUGUGUGCUUCUACCUCCGCUCUUGUAGGUCACCCUAUGUUCGUGCCUCUUCUGGAAAAAAGUGUUCACUACAGCCAUUUGCAUCCUUGUUGCAAAGUCUACCACCAUCUGUCCCUCCAAGUUCCUUUCCUGGAUGCCGUACUUACCCAUCACUUCUUCAUCACCCCUAUUUCCUUCACCAACAUGUCCAUUACAAUCUGCACCAAUCACGACUCUCUCGCUGUCUGGGAUGCUCAGAACUACUUUGUCUAGCUCCUUCCAAAAUUGCUCUUUCACCUGUAGGUCACAUCCUACCUGUGGGGCAUAGCCACUAAUCACAUUACACAUAACACCCUCAAUUUCAAAUUUCAGCCUCAUCACUCGAUCUGAUACUCUUUUCACCUCCAAGACAUUCUUAGUCAACUCUUCUUUUAAAAUAACCCCGACUCCAUUUCUCUUCCCAUCUACACCACGGUAAAAUAAUUUAAACCCUGCCCCUAAACUUCUAGCCUUACUGCCUUUCCACCUGGUCUCCUGGACACACAAUAUAUCAAUCUUUCUCCUAAUCAUCAUGUCAACCAACUCCUGAGAUUUUCCUGUCAUAGUCCCAACAUUCAAAGUCCCCACAGUUCUAGGCUCUGUGUUUUCCUCUUCUCUUUCUGCCGAAGAACCCGCUUUCCACCUCUUCUUCUUCUUCGACUUCGACCCACAGUAGCUGAAUUUCCAACAGCGCUCUGCAGGUUGACGGCGCCGGUGGCGGACGUUGUUAACCCGGGCCACGACCGAUCCGGCUGUGAAGCGCGCCCAAAAGAACACACAUGUGGCCUUAAUGAGCCCGGCUGUGCAGGAACAGUACCAGCCAGUCAUGUGCGAGGGCAACAGAGUCACACUGCAGCUGGCGAAUGCCGGCCAUCUCUCUCUGAGCCAGCU
This is an RNA transcript of Phyllopteryx taeniolatus (common seadragon), 3247 nucleotides long. It is a transcript of the gene named multidrug and toxin extrusion protein 1-like, with no coding region annotated. The record is from RefSeq and is a predicted model, not a curated record. Lineage: Eukaryota; Metazoa; Chordata; Actinopteri; Syngnathiformes; Syngnathidae. The transcript has 17 exons.